UACGGGAGGCAGCAGUAGGGAAUAUUGGUCAAUGGGUGAGAGCUUGAACCAGCCAUGCCGCGUGCAGGAAGAAGGCCUUCUGGGUUGUAAACUGCUUUUGUCAGGGGAUAAAAUUUCCUUGCGAGGAAAAUUGAAGGUACCUGGUGAAUAAGCCACGGCUAACUACGUGCCAGCAGCCGCGGUAAUAUGUAGGUGGCAAGCGUUGUCCGGAUUUAUUGGGUUUAAAGGGUGCGUAGGCGGCUUAUUAAGUCAGUGGUGAAAUAUGGCGGCUUAACUGGGAGGGUGGCAUUGAUACUGGUGGGCUUGAGUACAGAUCAGAUAGGCGGAAUUGACGGUGUAGCGGUUAAAUGCUUAGAUAUCGUCAAGAACACCUAUAGGGAAGGCAGCUUAUUAGGCUGUAACUGACGUUGAGGCAAGAAAGUGUGGGGAUCAAGCAGGAUUAGAUCCCUUGUUCGUCCACUCUGUAAACGUUAAUUACUCGUUGUGUGCGAUAUACAGUACGGGCCAAGGAAAGCGUUAAGUAUCCACUGGAUA
RNAcentral lists this ribosomal RNA (534 nucleotides) under uncultured bacterium. RNAcentral's name for it is "bacterial SSU rRNA". It matches the Rfam family "Bacterial small subunit ribosomal RNA", at positions 340 to 873 of the family's 1533-position model. The record is from RNAcentral.